GCUAUAGCUUUAUAUGUGCCCGUACCGUAAACCGACACAGGUGGAUGAGGAGAGAAUCCUAAGGCCGGCGGAAGAAGUAUUGUUAAGGAACUCGGCAAAAUGACCCCGUAACUUCGGGGGAAGGGGUGCCCACGGGAGUGGGCCGCAGAGGAUAGGCUCAAGCAACUGUUUAGCAAAAACACAGAUCUAUGCGAAACCGAAAGGUGAAGUAUAUGGGCUGACGCCUGCCCGGUGCUGGAAGGUUAAGAGGAGAGGUUAGAGCAAUCGAAGCUUUGAAUUUAAGCCCCAGUAAACGGCGGCCGUAACGAUAACGGUCCUAAGGUAGCGAAAUUCCUUGUCGGGUAAGUUCCGACCCGCACGAAAGGCGUAAUGAUUUGAGCACUGUCUCGACAAUACAUCCGGUGAAAUUGAAGUACCAGUGAAGAUGCUGGUUACCCGCGCCAGGACGGAAAGACCCCAUGGAGCUUUACUCCAGUUUGGUACUGGGAUUCGGUACUGCACGUACAGGAUAGGUGGGAGACUAAGAAACUUGAACGCCAGUUUGAGUGGAGUCGCUGUUGGGAUACCACCCCUGCAGUAUUGGAUUUCUAACCAGUCACCGUGAUCCGGUGAUGGGACAAUGCCAGGCGGGGAGUUUGACUGGGGCGGUCGCCUCCGAAAGGGUAUCGGAGGCGCUCAAAGGUUCCCUCAGAAUGGUCGGAAACCAUUUGAAGAGUGCAAAGGCAGAAGGGAGCUUGACUGCGACACCGACGGGUGGAGCAGGUAGGAAACUAGGACUUAGUGAUCCGGUGGCAUAAAGUGGGAUUGCCAUCGCUCAACGGAUAAAAGCUACCCUGGGAUAACAGGCUUAUCACUCCCAAGAGUUCACAUCGACGGAGUGGUUUGGCACCUCGAUGUCGGCUCAUCACAUCCUGGGGCUGUAGCAGGUCCCAAGGGUUGGGCUGUUCGCCCAUUAAAGCGGUACGCGAGCUGGGUUCAGAACGUCGUGAGACAGUUCGGUCCCUAUCCGGCGCGGGCGGAGGAUAUUUGAGAGGAGCUGUCCUUAGUACGAGAGGACCGGGAUGGACGGACCACUGGUGUAUCUGCUGUCGGCCAACGGCAUGGCAGAGUAGCCAAGUCCGGAAGGGAUAAACGCUGAAGGCAUCUAAGCGUGAAGCCCCCCUCAAGAUGAGAUAUCCCUCACAAAAGUGAGUAGAUCCCUUGAAGACUACAAGGUAGAUAGGGCAGAGGUGGAAGUGUGGCAACACAUGGAGCUGACUGUUACUAAUCGAUCGAGGGCUUGACCG
RNAcentral lists this ribosomal RNA (1286 nucleotides) under metagenome. Its description in RNAcentral is "bacterial LSU rRNA". It matches the Rfam family "Bacterial large subunit ribosomal RNA", at positions 1623 to 2925 of the family's 2925-position model. The record is from RNAcentral.